GAUUGAACGCUGGCGGCAGGCUUAACACAUGCAAGUCGAGCGGAGUGAUGGUGCUUGCACUAUCACUUAGCGGCGGACGGGUGAGUAAUGCUUAGGAAUCUGCCUAUUAGUGGGGGACAACAUUUCGAAAGGAAUGCUAAUACCGCAUACGUCCUACGGGAGAAAGCAGGGGAUCUUCGGACCUUGCGCUAAUAGAUGAGCCUAAGUCGGAUUAGCUAGUUGGUGGGGUAAAGGCCUACCAAGGCGACGAUCUGUAGCGGGUCUGAGAGGAUGAUCCGCCACACUGGGACUGAGACACGGCCCAGACUCCUACGGGAGGCAGCAGUGGGGAAUAUUGGACAAUGGGCGCAAGCCUGAUCCAGCCAUGCCGCGUGUGUGAAGAAGGCCUUAUGGUUGUAAAGCACUUUAAGCGAGGAGGAGGCUACUGAAGUUAAUACCUUCAGAUAGUGGACGUACUCGCAGAAUAAG
RNAcentral lists this ribosomal RNA (468 nucleotides) under Acinetobacter sp. DM83. Its description in RNAcentral is "bacterial SSU rRNA". It matches the Rfam family "Bacterial small subunit ribosomal RNA", at positions 27 to 490 of the family's 1533-position model. Lineage: Bacteria; Pseudomonadati; Pseudomonadota; Gammaproteobacteria; Moraxellales; Moraxellaceae. The record is from RNAcentral.